RNAcentral lists this ribosomal RNA (264 nucleotides) under uncultured Atopobium sp. RNAcentral describes it as "partial 16S ribosomal RNA". It matches the Rfam family "Bacterial small subunit ribosomal RNA", at positions 92 to 355 of the family's 1533-position model. The record is from RNAcentral. Lineage: Bacteria; Bacillati; Actinomycetota; Coriobacteriia; Coriobacteriales; Atopobiaceae.
AAAGUGGCGAACGGCUGAGUAACACGUGGGCAACCUGCCCUUUGCACUGGGAUAGCCUCGGGAAACCGAGGUUAAUACCGGAUACUCCAUAUUUGUCGCAUGGCGAAUAUGGGAAAGCUCCGGCGGCAAAGGAUGGGCCCGCGGCCUGUUAGCUAGUUGGUGGGGUAGUGGCCUACCAAGGCAAUGAUGGGUAGCCGGGUUGAGAGACCGACCGGCCAGAUUGGGACUGAGACACGGCCCAGACUCCUACGGGAGGCAGCAGCA